This is an RNA transcript of Carya illinoinensis, 2208 nucleotides long. It is a transcript of the gene named dynein regulatory complex subunit 3, with no coding region annotated. NCBI's taxonomy places the organism in Eukaryota, Viridiplantae, Streptophyta, Magnoliopsida, Fagales, Juglandaceae. The record is from RefSeq and is a predicted model, not a curated record. The transcript has 11 exons.
CCGGCGCUGUGCCAUUUCUAAAUCCAAAUCAGCCGUGCCCUGCGUUGUUCAGAACCUGACCUGAAACUUGGGAGAUAGAAUACAGAUACCUCCUUCAGCCACCACUUGCAAGCGUUGUUGCAGACAAUCUAGGGUUUUCCACAAGAGUGGAGACCGGACUUGACCAGACCAUCCAUGACUCGCUUGUGCUCCGAGCAGGCCUUGGAGGACAACGCCACCAGCGACCCCAAGUCUGUUCCAUCUCUUAAGCUCACUUACAGGGCUCUAACCGAUGUGUCAUGCUUGAGCGAGUUCAAGACAUUGGAGAAGCUCGACCUCAGCUUCAACAAUCUCAGUUCUCUCGAGGGGUUGAAGGCAUGCGUCAAUUUGAAGUGGUUAGCAGUUGUACAAAAUAAACUGGAAAGCUUGAAAGGAAUUGAAGGACUUUCUAAGCUCACUGUGCUAAAUGCUGGAAAAAAUAAGCUGAGAUCAAUGGAUGAGGUCGGGUCCCUUCUAAGCUUACGUGCGCUAAUCUUGAAUGAUAAUGAAAUUAUCUCCAUUUGCAGACUUGAUCAAAUGAAAGACUUGAAUACUCUAGUUCUUUCUAGGAAUCCAAUCCGUGAAAUUGGUGAGUCUCUAAUGAAGCUGAAAUCUAUCACAAAGCUCUCUCUCUCUAAUUGUCAACUUCAGACUAUUGGCUCUACUCUCAAGUCCUGUGUUGAAUUGAAAGAGCUUCGACUUGCUCACAAUCAAAUCUCUACUCUCCCAGAUGAGUUAGCUCGAAAUAAGAAACUCCAGAAUCUGGACUUGGGAAAUAAUGUCCUUUUAAGGUGGUCCGAUCUGAAGGUGUUGACUUCACUAGCUAAUCUGAGAAAUCUCAAUCUACAAGGAAACCCUGUUUCUGAACAGGAGAAACUACCAAAAAAGAUAAAAAAUGCACUGCCGAACUUGAAGAUAUUCAAUGCUAAACCAACAGAUAAAUACACCAAGAAUGAGAACAGUGAGAUGGAUGAUAAAGUUGAUUAUUCAGUAAAUGCUAGUAACAAGCUUGAAGUUCCAAGGGAAGAGAGAAGAGAUAGCAUCAGGAAAAUUAAUUCCAAACAUCAUCUGAUGGAUGGCAAAGAUGAUCGGCUUGAUGAUGCUAAAGGUGUUAAUUUGAAGAAGAAAUUGAAACGGAAUAUGCAGGAAACAAAUGAAAAUGUCUCAGAAAAAGAAGUUUUAAUUUGUAAGGAUCAGAAAAGAGAUGAAAUCGGAAGAAACUAUGUCAAGGAUCGAAGUGAAGACAGUUUUGAUAAUGCUGAAAAUCUUGAUGUAGAAAAGAAAUCAAGGAAGAAAAAGCAGAAGAUUGGAACGCUGUCGCCGAAAGAAGUUGAACUACAUCAGGAGGUUGAAAAGAAACUAAAGAAGAAAACAAAGGUAGAGAAAGGUGAAUAUAAUGUUAUUGAUGAUCCAGAAGCUUCUUUUGUGGAGCUUUUUGCUGCUGACAGUGCAAGAAAUUCCAAAUAUGACCACGAAAAGAAGAUAAUUGACAUCACUACUCAAGACACGGUAGGUGGCUUAGUUACCUUCUCUGUAAAGAAAAAGAAAGCUAAACGCCAUGGCUCGGGCCCUUCACUCGAUUUAUACCCUACAGUUGAAAUUGGAAUGGGUGGAGCAUCAACAUGGGGCGAUGAAUGAUAAUUCUGCGCUGGAGCCAUGCAAGUGCUUUUAGGCUUCUGGGCUCCCAUGAUUCAGUUAAGGCACUAGCCAAUCCAACAUCACACCAUUCAUCGAUUUCACUCUGCUUGGAGAUUGAAUAGUUGAAACAGCCUGGUUCGGCUUUCUGGACAGCCUGGGUGAUGUACGGCCGGUGGUGGAUACUUGGUAUGUCGUCAAAUGAGUUGCAUUCGUGGGAGGAAUGCAUUUUGAAUUAACUUUUUUUUUUUUUCAAAAAUUUUAACAGGACUUAAGGUAUGGUUUGGUAAAUGAGAAUUUUGAGUUUUAAGAUAAAAUAUUAAAAUAUUAUAUUUUAAUAUUAUUAUUAUUUUGGGAUUUGAAAAAAUUAAAAAAAAGUUGAAUUAUUUAUUAUAUUUUAUAUGGGGAUUUCAGAAAGCUGUAAUGAUAAGAUUAGAAUUUUGAGUUAGAGAUGAAAAUUUUCUUGGACCAAACCGAACCUAAACAGAAGGGCUUUAUUUAGCCAAGCAUAUGGUUGAAUUGGUGAAAUUAGGAUGUAACAAUAGUUUUUCGCAA